Long non-coding RNA from Myotis myotis, 1176 nucleotides. RefSeq lists it as uncharacterized. Lineage: Eukaryota; Metazoa; Chordata; Mammalia; Chiroptera; Vespertilionidae. The transcript is spliced from 7 exons. The record is from RefSeq and is a predicted model, not a curated record.
UGUGAAGAUCCCGGAGUGCGGAGUCCUCAGCGCGGAGGCUGCUGCCCCUGGCGUUCAGUAUGGCCGCGCGAACUGAGUGGGGACGUCCCAUGGCUCUCAGAAAUGUGGGGCAGGAAAGCGUUGGGGACCUUUGCACUGUGCCGGGGGACAGGGUAAAGGAAGACCUAGGUCCGACCCCGCCUCCCUAGGCAGUGCCUGGCUUUAUGAAAUAUAGCUGGAGUCUGACACUUUCAAAGCUUGCACCGAACUCAUCCUCCCCAGCGCGCACGCUCCCCUCUUCCUGCAAUACAUGCACCAGCAGCCGAGACCUUGCUCUAUUGCAGUUCAUGAAACUACUUGCCAUGCAUGUCAGUUUGUCAUCCAGAAACUCUCAGGAGGUAGAGACCACUUAACACAGUUUUAGGUGGAGCAGUGGCUUGUGGAGUGGCAAAGUUUGGGACUCACUUACUUAACUGAAGAUACCCCAGCCUUGAAGAAGGACCAGUAGAAAAGGCAAUGCCUCAAAGGUGAUACCUGCAUAAGUAAUGUCCACCCUUCUGGUACGGGGAGUUUUGAAAAAAUCCUGUCAUGAGACAAGCAGAAUGUCCAUAAGGCAGACCUGCCAUGAUCAAAGGUAGUCUUCCUCCUGGUUCAAGAUGGCACAGUCCUAGGUGUCACAUGGAAAUACAACCACAUCCAAUAGCAGAAGAGGACUGUCUUUUGACAAAAGGCCUCACUCAGCAGAGGAUCUCCUUCUGAAGAGCUUCUCUCCAGGAGUACCCUGGCCUCUCGAGAUGCUGACAGCAGUUUCCUGACUUAGCUGAUUCAGCCCUGGUCGGCCUGCUCUUGGAGUAUACUGAGAUGUCAUGUCAGCUUCCUGGUGAUAACCGGCCUUAGCCUGCCAUGCCUGUCUAUUCCUGUGCCCUUUCUUAUGGAAUUUCUGCCCAUCCAAAACUGAGCAGUUGUGGAAUCUUAGAAGUAGGCUGUCCAGGAUGUGUCAGCAAGCUUCUUCUAACAUCCUAUCCUAUCAUCCUUCCUUUGUGGCGUUUGUCCUUAUAACUGCAAGAUGGAUGCUGUACCUGGAGGCAUCAAAUCUAUGUUCUCGGCAGGAAGAAUGAGGGAAAGAAAUGGUAAGACAAUAAUCCUCUCAUCCAACACAAUUUUACAAUAAGGUUUCCUCCCUGAUCUAAGUGUAUU